GUUUUUUAAUAAAAUACUUUAUUGACUCACUAUGGACUUUUUCAGUCGUGUGUCUCUUCCUCAAAUUCGAACCAUGACAAAGAAGAAGCACGGGAGCCGGAACCCGGUUCUGGCCCGGGGCAUCGGUCGCUACUGCUGGUCUGCUCGCAGGGCUAUAUAUAAGAAAAAGACCAAGACCACUGAGACCAAGAGGCAGACCUGUGGUGCCAUACAAUUUUUUUAAUAUUGAUCAAAGACAUGCCACUUUUUCUUUGUCACUUUUUUAGAUGAUAAUUUUUUUUGCUCCAGGUGGAGGAUAAGAGUAAGGCUAGACCUAAGGCAAGUCAUCAAGACUGUUGGAGGAGACAGCAGCUCAGCAGUGGACAUGAUGGUGAUCUGGAAGAUGACAAAACAAAGCAGGUCAAUGGGUCAACCAUUACAGCGAAGACUAAUGGGUAACAGCACCAGAAACGUCAGAAUCCUUCAGGUGGCUUAGUUGGUGGCUUGCAGCGAUUGACAGGUGGCCUGCUGGAGCGUGGAUUCAUUGGUGGCUGGCAGCAAUUGAGAUGGAGACCCUUGGGAUAUCCUUGGCAGGUGGAAUCCACUCCGGCGUUGUGGCAGGCAGUGGCAUGGAGACCAUGGCAGAAAGCGCCUGGACAACAGCGCCGUAAAAUAAAAAGGCUCUGAAUUUGGACACCCCGCUGUUUACGGAUGGACAAUAAUAACGGUGGGUCUAGGGGUCAACCAUUACAGCGAAGACCCAUGGACGACAGGACCAGAGGUCAACGACGGGGCGAAGGCGGGACCUUUCAAGUGGCUUGGAUUGUGGCAAUUAGCAGGCGGCCAGCGGUGGCGUGGCUUGGCAGGUGGUCUGCUGCAGUGUGGAUUAGCUGGUGGCUGGCACCCUUUGGAGGAUUGGCAGGUGGACUCCACGGUGGUGUCCGCGGCAGGUGGCGGCGUGGAAUCCGGGGCAGGUGUCGUGGAGUCCGUGGCAGGCAGCGGAGAGGGACCAACUGAUUUGGAGUGGAGUCCACUGCAGGUGACUCUGCCAUUGACAUGUCGAAGAGGUUAACACGUGAGGAGCAGAUCGAAAUUGUGUUGGUAUCUGGUGAAUGCAGUAACUGGGUCAUUGCAGCAGAUUUCAAUGCAAGACACCCUACGAGACCACCCAUCCUGCUCUUGCUCUUGACGAAGGCGGUCGCACUUUUCUCCUCUCCUCCUCCUCUCCCUUAGCUUCCCUGCUUAGCCUCUUAUGUCCUUGUCUAGUCUCGUGUUUUUUGUAUUACUUUUCCCUGGAACACUCUCUCACAGUCUGUUCUCUAAAACCUAAAAGAGAAAUUAUGGAUUGGAUCAACUGGUCCCUAAAUGCAAUUGACACCCCUUUCUCAACGAGAAGUUUGGGCUUGGGUGAGCCUGAGUGCUGAAGAUAUCUACCUAUUCGGAACCAUGGUAACAGGGUUCUGGCUGAUCGGAGCUGGCUUGGCCCUGACUUAUCGAAGAAUUAAGAAAGCGGAACCGGCUGUUCAAACCCCCACAAGGCUGCCCGCUGAGAUUGAAACGAUGGGAAGAGGCGUGAGUUUCUCAAAAUGGGCUCAUUGAGUGCAGCACGGAUAAGAUCUUGGAAAGGCUACGGCUGCUGUGAAUACUCAGAAUAAGAUCUCUGACUGCAGACUGGAUUACAUCUCGGAAGGGUUAGCUCGGAAUAACAUCUCUGAGCGCAAAUUGGAUGACAUCUCGGGGAGGCACACUGUCGUGAGUUGUCAGAAUCGGCUCCUUGAGCACAAGAAAUGACAUCACAGAGCGCAAGUAUGGCGAAGCUCGCGGCUCUCCAACGGGAGAUUGAGAGACCAGUGUUGGACUGUAGAACUGCUUUGAAAUUCAUAUGAGCUGUUCGUACUAAAGUAAAAAGCACCAUCACUUCAUGCAGAUACCCUCUCGGCGCCAGCUGCGGUCGCAAGGCUGGAGCCAAACAAAAACACCCUGAUAACGACUGUGUUUAGACUGUUCCUUCCCAUUCCAUGCAAGGCCACCUGGGUUGGCUGGAAGACUGUUUACUUUGCCUAGCAGGGCGAAGGACACUGUCUCAGCUGAACUCUGGACACGCACACACAUACAUAUACACUGAUAUGCACACACUCAUCCCCCCUCCCUCUCCAAACGCCUUCGACGCUUAUUCCCUUCCAAUGCUGACGGUGGAUCAAGGAGCCCAGCGCACAGGCUGCAGGCCCGGAUGUACUGUCUAAAUCGGCUGUCUCUCACCCUGCUGUAACCCUAAUUUCCUUUGGGAUUAAUAAAGUAUUCUGAUGAUAAGAGAUAAGAUAAGAUAAGAUAGAAGAUAAGAUAGAACUUUAUUAAUCCCUCGGGUGGGUUCCUCUGGGAAAUUCGACUUCCAAAAAGCACAGCAACGACCGAAGUUACAGUUACAGAAUUGUUAUAUAUAUAUAUAUAUAUAUAUAUAUAUAUAUAUAUAUAUAUAUAUAUAUAUAUACACACACACACACACACACACACACACACACACACACACACACACACACAUAUAUAAAUACAGAGACAAAUAUAAAUAAAAUAUACAACGGGGAUAAAUAGAAUAAAUAGGAAUAAAAAAUAAAAAAUUACCCACCCCUGUUGCUUGUCAUGUGUUUCUUUGGUGUAUUAAGAGUUUUUUCAUGUGCUAUGUGCAGAAGUGUUUUUUUCUGUUCUCAAACUGAUCUCCCUGUUGGAGCUCAGUCUGAGGGGAGUUAUUUUUUUCUCCUUAUCUUUCCUCAUGUGGUGCCUUUUCCAUUGUUAUACCUCUCUGACCUGUCUUCCCCAUGUGAUGUUUUGUGUAAUGUAUGGUCGGAGGGUAAGAUGGCGCCGCCAUUGCGUGCAAUAGGUCUGCAGCCUUAUGAAAUUUCCCCUUGUGGGACUAAUAAAGGUAUAUCAAAUCAAAUAUCACAGACUUUAAGGCCUUUAUAAUCACAGAGCAUACAGAGAAAAGUACUAAACUGAAUCAAUUUCAGCUUUGUUUCUCAUGAUGUAUAUUGUAUUAAUAAUUAAAUUUCAUCAUCUGUGUCUUUACCAGGGCCGUGCAGAGAGGUUUAAAGGGGCGGGUGCUCAAAGUUAAAAAGGGGCACAUUGAACCAGGCUGAAUAACAACAACACACAUUCAUCAAGAAUCUAAUAUGGACAACAAGGCAAAGCAAACGUAGCCGAUUUUUUACCUGAUGGGUACAAUGUUGCUGUUGAGGGGUUGCUGUGGAUAGUGCUGGAGGGCAGGGCUGUGUUGAUCUGAGACUGUAGACAGUAAAAAGUCCAUAGGAGAGAUGGUAGCUGAUUAAACAAGUGUCAUGAGAUAAUAACAAAAUGCAAAGAUUGGUGACAGCGCUUGGAACCAUAAGGCAACAAAAGACUGUGAGAAAUAAUUUAGGCUCUGCCUGUGAAUCACUCUUUGCUUCUCUUCUUUCUUCCAUCCCUUUCAUUUCAUAUAUCACUCUCCACUUGCUGUCUAUCUGAGAACAAGGCACAGCUUGUUAUUGCAAUAAACUAUAAUCUAAUUAUCCACACCUAACAACUCUUGCACUUAAUCUAUAAUUAAAUGAUGACAGAAAAAUGUUAUAGCACUGCCUUUAGUAGCCUCACACAGCUCCUACUAUUUCCUCCUCAUAUCCUUACCAGGCAUGUCUGGACAAUGUUAUAUCAUAAGUAAUAAUUUUAAAAAAUCCAUAUACAUAAAACACACACAUGCACGCACACACAGUGACAUUUUAGACCUUCUUCAGAAUACUGUACUAUGGGCAUCACUGUGCUGAUCCAGAAUCCUUACAUUAUUAUUUAUAGAGCUACAAUAAUAAAGCAAUGAGGAGGGGGAAGUAAUAAAUAUGAAAUAAUGUCAUUAUGAUGAUUCCAUUUGUUUCACUAUCCACUCUGUGCAGGGGCAAAGCUUAUUACAUUUUUAAACUGUAGAGAUACAAUCAUUUUACUGCUGUAAAAUCCAAAUUUUGUCUUAUUUAAAAUAUAAAUCUAAUAUAAUCUGCUUCCUGGGGCGAUCGUGGCUCAAGAGUUGGGCGUUCGCCUUGUAAUCGGAAGGUUGCCGG
Astatotilapia calliptera (eastern happy) is the source of this 4055-nucleotide long non-coding RNA. Lineage: Eukaryota; Metazoa; Chordata; Actinopteri; Cichliformes; Cichlidae. The record is from Ensembl.